UGCCUGGAUCCCAAUGUUAGGAACAACUUCCUUGUUUGUCAAGAGGAGGGUGGGGAGCAGGGCGAGGAAUUUACUGCACGCAAGCAGAGAAGAAAAGUAGGCGGUUAGGAUGAACUGCAGCCCCUGGUGUGGACCAACCUUGCCUCCCAAUCAGCUGCAGUCAUCGUUGGAAGAUGCGGAUGCAGAAGAGAAGGACCCAUCCCGAGGAGCAGAAGAGGACCCAGUUCAUCAGCCAGAGAGCCCGAUAGAGAAGCUUUUUGAUUUAUCCCUCUAUCUCUCUUCCUGUCCCCUCCUUACUCUAACAUGACUAACCAUCUCCCUUCCCCUCCUCUACUCUCACCUCUCUUAUGCCCUUUCCCAAAGUAACA
Saccostrea echinata is the source of this 368-nucleotide long non-coding RNA. RefSeq lists it as uncharacterized. The transcript has 3 exons. Lineage: Eukaryota; Metazoa; Mollusca; Bivalvia; Ostreida; Ostreidae. The record is from RefSeq and is a predicted model, not a curated record.